CAGUCGCCGCGGUAAUGCGAAGGGUGCAAGCGUUAAUCGGAAUUACUGGGCGUAAAGCGUGCGUAGGCGGUUUGUUAAGUCUGUUGUGAAAUCCCCGGGCUCAACCUGGGAAUGGCAAUGGAUACUGGCUCGCUAGAGUGUGUCAGAGGAUGGUGGAAUUCCCGAUGUAGCGGUGAAAUGCGUAGAGAUCGGGAGGAACAUCAGUGGCGAAGGCGGCCAUCUGGGACAACACUGACGCUGAGGCACGAAAGCGUGGGGAGCAAACAGGAUUAGAUACCCGAGUAGUCCCUGUCUCUUAUAC
This 301-nucleotide ribosomal RNA is filed under the name uncultured bacterium. RNAcentral describes it as "partial 16S ribosomal RNA". It matches the Rfam family "Bacterial small subunit ribosomal RNA", at positions 509 to 807 of the family's 1533-position model. The record is from RNAcentral.